AAUCAACGCUGGCGGCGUGCCUAACACAUGCAAGUCGAACGCGAAAGCCCUUUCGGGGGUAAGUAGAGUGGCGUCCGGGUGAGUAACACGUAGGUAAUCUACCUUCGGGUGGGGAAUAACUCGCCGAAAGGCGAGCUAAUACCGCAUAAUGCAGCGGCACCUAAUGGUGAUUAGUUGUUAAAGCGGGGGAUCGUAAGACCUCGCGCCUGAAGAGGAGCCUGCGGCAGAUUAGCUAGNGGUGAGGUAAUGGCUCACCAAGGCUUCGAUCUGUAGCUGGUCUGAGAGGACGACCAGCCACACUGGCACUGACACACGGGCCAGACUCCUACGGGGGGCAGCAGUGGGGAAUUUUGGGCAAUGGGCGCAAGCCUGACCCAGCAACGCCGCGUGAGGGAGGAAAUCCUUCGGGAUGUAAACCUCACAAGCAAGGGAAGAGAGCUCAGGACCAAAU
This 451-nucleotide ribosomal RNA is filed under the name uncultured bacterium. RNAcentral describes it as "bacterial SSU rRNA". It matches the Rfam family "Bacterial small subunit ribosomal RNA", at positions 32 to 464 of the family's 1533-position model. The record is from RNAcentral.